GGUUGAUCCUGCCAGUAGUCAUAUGCUUGUUUCACGGAUUAAGCCAUGCAAGUCUAAGUAUAAGUAAAACAAAUUGCGAAACUGCGAACGGCUCAUUAGAACAGUUGUGACCUACACGAUGGUUUAUCUACACGGAUACCGUUGGUAAUUCUGACUGCAAUACGUGAUAUAGUAUCUUUCCGAAAAGGAAGAGGCUCUUGCUAUAAAUUAGUCAAGGAUUAGAUUGGUUUCGAGCGAGUUUGCCGACCGUGCUCAAGUGCGGUUCGUCGUUCGGGCUUCUGACCCAUCAGCU
Molecule: ribosomal RNA, 292 nt
Filed under: uncultured eukaryote
Lineage: Eukaryota
Description: partial 18S ribosomal RNA
Rfam family: Eukaryotic small subunit ribosomal RNA
Source: RNAcentral